UGUUUCCUCCAAUCUGUACUCAUCGUUGAUUCUAUUCAUACUGAGCAGCAGUAAUAAUCCUCUAAAUAAGGUAAUUUGAGAUAAUAAUUAAGUUGAGUGUUAUCAUUAUUUACAAACUGUGCAAUUCUUACAACUUAGGUUUUUCGUUUCUUUAAGAAAUUCAAUCUCUUAGUAUUAAUAACAAAUUCUCCUAUUUUGAAUCACUAAUACUAAAUAAAAUACCAAAAAAUAAUUACUUAUUUUGUGAUAAAAAUAAUAAAAUACUAAAGAGUGAAUGAAAGUAAAAUCAACAUAAAAGGCAGCAAUAUGAUAUUUUAUCUGGCAGCAAUAAGAAAAAAAAAGAACCGAAAAGAAAACAUUGAAAUUAAGAAAAUAAAAUUUGUACCGCACCCGAAGGCUGCCUACGU
This 407-nucleotide unclassified non-coding RNA is filed under the name Hevea brasiliensis (rubber tree). The record is from RNAcentral. Lineage: Eukaryota; Viridiplantae; Streptophyta; Magnoliopsida; Malpighiales; Euphorbiaceae.